This is a long non-coding RNA of Bicyclus anynana (squinting bush brown), 2076 nucleotides long. RefSeq lists it as uncharacterized. The transcript is spliced from 3 exons. Lineage: Eukaryota; Metazoa; Arthropoda; Insecta; Lepidoptera; Nymphalidae. The record is from RefSeq and is a predicted model, not a curated record.
UACAACUGGGUGACACAGAAGUUGUCAAAGUCAAUCGCUAUAGAAACUAAUACCGAGCAGUGUUUUAAUAAAGUUUACUUGACGCCUGUGAUUCAAUAAUUACAAAUAAAAGUACUUUUAGGAUUUUUUUGAAUUUUGUACUAUACCUUGUAAGUAAGGUAUUAGUUUGUAAGUCAAUAAAAUCAGAAUUAGAAAAGUUUUUCAUGUAAAAUAUGACGAAAGUUGAGAAUAUAUAGUAGGUACCUACCUACAUACUUAUUUCAUAAAGCAGAAUUACAGUUUUAGAGUUAGUUGAAGUGAAUUUAAUUAAUUGUGUUAUUUUUGUAGUGUUUACCGACAUUGCCAUGUACAAUACAAUGCAUGUAGCAUUUGUAUUGUACGCGGAAACGGAACGAAAAAGAUGUCUUUGUCGAGUUCAUUGCAAAACUUUCGUGUCGCGAUACCAGCAGGUUUUAGAAGAAAUACAAAGUCUUCGAACAACUGCUGUUCGCAAUGAAUUAGAGAUAAGUAAGUUAUAUGAAUGAAUGAAGGAAUUUUCUUCAUUCUCUGCGUUGAGCAAGUGACGUGGACUAUGGGCCUAACCCCUCUCAUUCUGAGAGGAGACUCGAGCUCAGCAGUGAGCCGAAUAUGGUAUUUUUAUAUGGUGAGCUUCCAUCAUAGGAUAAGUUGGUUUAAGAUUUGGAGUAGGCUUAUUCAGUACUAGCAGACACACCAUAGUUUGACCGGUGUAGUUCCCGUUCCUGUGGGAAUAUGGGGUAGCACAGAGUAAUACGGGCUAUAUUUUAUAUAGCCUAUAUUACUCUGUGCUGUAGCUUACCAAUGGUGAAAGAUUUUUUAUAAUCAGUCCAGUAGUAUUUGUGUUAGAUUGUAAGAAACAAAUAAUAUUAUCUAAAGAUCGGUCACUGUCAUCCUAAGAACCUAAAUUAAACCAUUGAAUAUUAUUUACAGGUCUUGGCAGCUUUAAACUUUUAUGCCAAUGGAUCAUACAAAUGGCUUUGUGAUGGCUAAGGCAUCUUUUAGCAAAUGCCUACAUGAAGUCGCUGACGCUCCUGAAUACCCCAGCUGUUUAAAAAAAAUGUGUUAAGUUCCCUUUGCAUUAAACACAAAAUCAUUAUAAAUAAGUGACCAAUGUUUGCAUGAUGACCCCCAUCUUGGGAGCUGCUCCUAGAUCCCAUGAAGAUAUGCACAACAUUGCUGUGUCAGAAAUAUGGUGGAGCCUUGUAGUUGGGUGCAUAUUGUAAAAUGUUUCCUCACUCCAAAACCAUGAACUCUGGUUUCCUAAACCCUCAAGCUAUGCAGCCGAAGGAGGAGACUUAUCACAGGAGAAUCACUAAUAAUUUUGAAGAAGUGAAGAGCUUAACAAUGUUUCAACCAACACCUAAAGAAGCUUUCACUUGGCUGUUAGAUCAAGGGCUGGAUACAGAAAACAGUAAUCCUUGUGAUGGCAGUAUUGUCCAAGGAUUCCUCACUCAAAACCAUGAUAACAAGUUGCUAGAACCCUCAAGCUAUGCAGACAAAGGACUGGAUAUAUUUUUUCGUGACCAAGCCUUCUGUAUAAUUAUUUAUACUUAAACCAUACAAAGCACUAUCUAGCCCCAAAGUAGGCAUACAUAGUAGCUUGUGUUGUGGGUACUAAGAUAGUUGAUAUUAUAAUAUUCAUUUACAUUUAUAUACUACCUAUAAAUACUUAUAUAAUGUAUAAAUACACACACACUGGAAAAAACCCAUGCUCUUCACACAAAUAUUUUCCAGGUGUGGGAAUCGAACCCAUGACCGUGGAUGCAGGAGCACUACUUACUGCGCCACGCGUAUGUGUUUUUAUUUUGAAGCAAAUUAUUAAAGUUGAUAAUUCAAAUUGUAGUCAUGUUUUUAAUUAAUCUAUAAUUAAUUUUUAAUUUACAUUUUUGUUAAAUAUUUACCUAUACUUCAGUCUAUUUUUGUUAGAGGGGGUACCUAUAUGUGUAAGUAGGGUCGUUUCUUGAUUAAAUUAAACUAAAGAAUGAAAGAUAUAUAUUAUAACAAAAUUUGUCAACAACAAUAUAUCAAGUCUGAAUAAAAAAUACCAACACAAGUAAA